GUUGGUGGAGUGAUUUGUCUGCUUAAUUGCGUUAACGAACGAGACUUCCGCGUGCUAAAUAGUUCUGCGUAUUAUUUUGAUAUGUUUUGGACUUCUUAGACGGACUUUUGGUGAUUAACUAAAGGAAGCUGGAGGCAAUAACAGGU
RNAcentral lists this ribosomal RNA (146 nucleotides) under Stramenopiles sp. RNAcentral describes it as "partial small subunit ribosomal RNA". It matches the Rfam family "Eukaryotic small subunit ribosomal RNA", at positions 1297 to 1461 of the family's 1831-position model. The record is from RNAcentral.